UCCUAAGGGCACCGUGGACGACAGGGAGUUAAUUGAAUACUUUAAGUCUCAGAUGAAAGAAGAUCCUGACAUGGCCUCAGCGGUGGUUGCCAUCCGGACUUUACUGGAGUUUUUGAAGAGAGAUAAAAGGGAGACAAUCCAAGGCCUGAGAGCAAACCUCACCAGUGCAAUAGAGACCCUGUGUGGUGUGGACUCCUCUGUGGCAGUGUCCUCUGGCAGGGAGCUCUUUCUUCGCUUCAUCAGCCUUACCUCCCUGGAAUACUUUGAUUACUCCAAAUGUAAAAAGAUUAUGAUUGAGCGGGGAGAACUUUUUCUCUUUUUUUUUUUUUUUUUUUGGCGGCGCCUGUGGCUCAGUAGAAAUAAGAUUGCAGAUUUGUGCCAUACUUUCAUCAAAGAUGGAGCAAAAAUACUGACUCACGCCUACUCCAGAGUGGUCCUGAGAGUCCUAGAAGCAGCUGUGGCAGCCAAGAAGAGAUUCAGUGUAUACAGAGUCACAGCCUGAUUUAUCAGGUAAGAAAAUGGCCAAAGCCCUCUGCCAGCUCAACAUCCCUGUCACUGUGGUGCUGGAUGCUGCUGUUGGUUAUAUCAUGGAGAAAGCAGAUCUUGUCAUAGUUGGUGCAGAAGGAGUUGUUGAAAACGGAGGAAUUAUUAACAAGAUUGGAACCAACCAGAUGGCUGUGUGUGCCAAAGCACAGAACAAGCCUUUUUAUGUGGUUGCAGAAAGUUUCAAGUUUGUGCGGCUCUUUCCACUAAACCGGCAAGAUGUCCCAGAUAAGUUCAAGUAUAAAGCACAUACUCUCAGGUCUGUGCAGACUGGACAAGAUCUCAGAGAGGAGCAUCCGUGGGUCGACUACACUGCCCCUUCUCUAAUCACGCUGCUGUUUACAGACCUGGGAGUGCUGACCCCCUCAGCAGUCAGUGAUGAACUCAUCAAGCUCUAUCUAUAACCACCAGGCCCUCUCCUGCUAAUGUACAGCUGAGGUGAGCAGCCACAUGACCUCCCAGUGAGCCAGGCCAAAACGGAAUUGUUUUUUAUUGAAGAUUGAUGGACUAAGGAUUUAAAAUUAUAAAUUGUAGAGAAUCUUUCUUAUUUCAGUCCCACCUAAAACUUAUCCAUGGUUCUGAAACCCAACCUAAACGUGCUUACAGUUUCCAGAACGAAAAGUUAGAUUAUAGGCUACUUAACCAAUGAAAGGUGUACCUAAGUCCACUUCCUUUCAUCCUCCCCUGCACUCCAGACUGAUUUGCCAAACACAUCCAUAAAAGAUAAAGGCUGAAAAGCAGCCAUUCCCAACUACAACCAUGCCCUCUCCAAUAAAUGGCUAACAGCUGGCCGGGACAUAAAUUACACAUGUGAGAAAGGGAAGGCAUAAGGAACAAUACUGAAUUUGCAUCUGGCCUUCCGUGCUGAACACGUCCCAGCAGGAUCAAGACAAAUAGAAUAAAAAACAUACACAAGGAAAGCAGAAAUAGCAUUUAGCAGUAAGAUCCUGCAUCACCACUGAAGGAGAUGCCUUCCAAAAUAUGUGUAAACUGAAAUUCUGUAUCUGUAAAAGGUGUGAACUUUCCUUUAAACAUAUUUGGGACUAAAUAGCUUUUUUAAAUUACAUUUGAGAACAAAGUUACAUCUUUUCAAAUAAAUUAUAAGAAUUUUGGAAAAAAAAGUAAAGAUGUAAAUAUGGUAACAGGUAUAUGGGUAUAGAUUACUUUCCACCUGUAUGAUUAUAGUCUUAGAAAAUUCUCUAAAAAUUGAAUUGUUGAAAAAAAUUCAAUUGUUGAAUCAAAACUAGGGAUACUGGGAAGUACUACUCAGCUGACUUCCAAUAAAGUUUUGCAAGUUUACGCUCCCACAUUGUUUUCCACACAUUGACUUCCUUGCCAGAGAAUGAAAAGGAAGACAUUGUCUUC
RNA transcript from Nycticebus coucang (slow loris), 1908 nucleotides. It is a transcript of the gene named translation initiation factor eIF-2B subunit alpha-like, with no coding region annotated. The transcript has 3 exons. The record is from RefSeq and is a predicted model, not a curated record. NCBI's taxonomy places the organism in Eukaryota, Metazoa, Chordata, Mammalia, Primates, Lorisidae.